Molecule: non-coding RNA, 21 nt
Filed under: Caenorhabditis elegans
Lineage: Eukaryota; Metazoa; Nematoda; Chromadorea; Rhabditida; Rhabditidae
Source: RNAcentral
UUUCAAAUCGUAAGCUCAAGU